AUUGAACGCUGGCGGCAGGCCCAACACAUGCAAGUCGAAUGGUAACAGGAAACAGCUUGCUGUUUCGCUGACGAGUGGCGGACGGGUGAGUAAUGUCUGGGAAACUGCCUGAUGGAGGGGGAUAACUACUGGAAACGGUAGCUAAUACCGCAUAACGUCGCAAGACCAAAGAGGGGGACCUUCGGGCCUCUUGCCAUCAGAUGUGCCCAGAUGGGAUUAGCUAGUAGGUGGGGUAACGGCUCACCUAGGCGACGAUCCCUAGCUGGUCUGAGAGGAUGACCAGCCACACUGGAACUGAGACACGGUCCAGACUCCUACGGGAGGCAGCAGUGGGGAAUAGUGCACAAUGGGCGCAAGCCUGAUGCAGCCAUGCCGCGUGUAUGAAGAAGGCCUUCGGGUUGUAAAGUACUUUCAGCGGGGAGGAAGGGAGUAAAGUUAAUACCUUUGCUCAUUGACGUUACCCGCAGAAGAAGCACCGGCUAACUCCGUG
This 490-nucleotide ribosomal RNA is filed under the name uncultured bacterium. Its description in RNAcentral is "partial 16S ribosomal RNA". It matches the Rfam family "Bacterial small subunit ribosomal RNA", at positions 30 to 507 of the family's 1533-position model. The record is from RNAcentral.